RNA transcript from Rhododendron vialii, 2592 nucleotides. It is a transcript of the gene named protein GAMETOPHYTE DEFECTIVE 1, with no coding region annotated. Lineage: Eukaryota; Viridiplantae; Streptophyta; Magnoliopsida; Ericales; Ericaceae. The transcript has 8 exons. The record is from RefSeq and is a predicted model, not a curated record.
CCCCUCUCUCUCCCUCCCUCCCUUUCUCUCUCUCUCUCUCUCUCUCUCUCUCUCUCCAAUGGUGUUCUUCGACCUCAACAUCCCCUACCACGAAUCCGACAAACACGUCCCGGACAAAUCCGCCAGAAAAACCACCCGCCUCAAACUCGCCGUCAAGGCCAUGGAGCUGGGCUACACCGGAGUCGCCUACAACCGCACGAUCAAGGGCGUGAUGUCCGAACACGACCGCUGCGCAACCCCUAAGUUCCCUCUCUCCUCCGUCCUCAAACUCGCGCCUUCUCUCUCUUCCGCCGUCAAGCUCCACCGCCACGUCCUCGGCGUCCCCGCCUCCGCCCCAUUCCGCCAGUACACGCGUUUGACGGUCGUGGUCGACAGCUCGGCUCAGGUGGCGGCUCUCAAUUCUGGCAAUCCGAUUUUAAAGACGUAUGAUGUCGUCGCUGUUAAGCCUUUGAGUCAGAACGCGUUCGAGCAAGCGUGUAAGGCUUCUGAGGUGGAUUUGAUUGCGAUUGAUUUUUCAGAGAAGCUGCCUUUUAGGUUGAAGCAACGAUUGGUUAAAGAUGCAAUUGAGCGUGGUGUCUCUUUUGAAAUCACGUAUUCACGUCUUAUCAUGGAUGCUCAAGUGAGGAGACAAAUGAUAUCAAAUGCCAAGCUACUGGUGGAUUGGACUCGAGGAAAGAAUCUCAUCGUCUCAAGUGCUGCCUCUUCUGUGACUGAACUGAGAGGGCCAUAUGAUGUUGCAAAUUUAUCAUCGCUGCUUGGGCUCUCUAUGGAACACGCUAAAGCAGCUCUUUCCAAGAAUUGUAGAUCUCUUAUUGCUAAUGCUACAAGGAAAAAACAGUUUUACAAGGAGGCAAUCAGAGUUGAAGUUAUUCCAUCAGGGGAGCAACUUGACUCCAAGGAAUCUUGCUUGAGCGAUUGGCUUAAAUGGGAUCCCAUCUCUAGCGGCGAGGGUGAUUUGCUAUUAGAUGACAUGGCCAAGUCCUUCUCUGCCUCCUCUAAAGUAUCCAAAACUGUGAAAGCCAUUGACUUUGCGGCAGUUGUGGAUAGUUUGCCAUCCCGUGGGUUGCAAGUUUGUGAUUUGAAAUCUACAACUGAGGCUGCAGUGCAGCCACUGGAUGUUGGUAAAAACUUGUCUGCUGUUGGGAGAGCUGAUGUCCCAAUUGUAGUAACUGGAGUUUCUCAGCAGCUAGAGUCUCUCGAGGAUCUUGCUAAAGCAGAUCAGACUUCAUCAUACAAUAUGCCAUCCCAACAUUUCAUCCAUAGCUGUGAAGAUUCUAUGGAUUCAUUUUCCCCCACUACUACUAUGAGACACUUCGAUAAUGCUGAGGAAAUCUUAAUGCAUACCGCCAACAGUGAAGAAGAACCUAAGAACUCAAAUGGGCUGGAUGUAGAUAUAUCCCUACGUGGAACUGAAGUGCAUAAUUUGCAAUCCCAGAGUUGCAUCACUCAUUGUGAUGCUUGGGUUUUCUUACCUGAUAGUACUGCAGAAGUUCACACUUCAGCAAUGGAGACUGAGAUUGCUUCAACCUGUAAUGCCAUUGUUGAUGUUGAGAAUCCAACUCCAUGCAAGGAUCUUGAUUUUUCUGCCUUCCCGGGUGAUGAGGCUAAGAUUUCAUGUAGUUCGGAUGGAAUUUUAGGUGUACAAGAUCAUGGAAUGGAAGAAGGCUUAAUUGGAAAAAAUGCCAACAGUAAAGUAGAUUUAUCAUCGGCUUCACAUGAGGUGUGUUUGCAUGAAGAUUUUAUGGAAAGAGAACAGUUCAGGGAAACAAGAGAUGAUUCAGUAUUUGUUGCUGAUGGAUUGCCAGCUGAGUCUUAUCGUGAGAUGGAAGAUAGCGAUGAUCAUCCUGCAGAGAAUUGCGAGCCGCCGGAUGAGGUGGUAAUUGAAGAUCACAAGAGGAUAGAUAUUCAAGCUGAAGUUAAUUGUCCAGCUUCGAAUGAUUCCUCAGGGAAGGGCAAAGUAAAACCAAGAAGAAGGAUACCUAGCCGAGCCUUUUCAUUCCCUCUGAAGCGUUUGUUGAAUCCUGCACCUUUCAAGAGGAAAGCUCAAAAGUUGAAAACCAAGACUAAAUUGCUGUGACUGUGAUUGGCAAAGCUAAUUGUCAAGUCACUCAACUCUCUAAAGCUAAUUGUCAAGUCACCCAACUCUCUUAUGCAAGGAAAUUUCGUGGAGCCAGACAAGUGAUAUAUGCUUUCAGCAGUGUGUUGUGGGUUCUAGUAUUGGAAAUCGUUCUCUCCCCAAAAAGUGAAGAGUAAGGUUUCUUACUUAUGCAGUUUCUGUUAAUAUAUUAGUAAGGGGAAGUGCCUAUAACGCGUAUGUUAUGUAGGCCUUGCGGGUACGCAGUGUUUGGCGUCUUUGGGCCCCUUUGUUCUAUGAGAGCCACUACCACCUCAAGUCCCAUGAAUUUGACCAUUAGAUCAAGAAUCCAUCCCAGAUUCUCAAGUGACAAGCGGCUCAGUAAAGCCCCACACUUCACUAUAUGAUCACUGGUAUAAAGUAUGCACCCACUAGUCGAGUUAUAGAGGUAAAUUAUUCAUCCUCUUGAUCUGAAUUUGAUUAGUUUGAGAUUUCAAAUUUGGAAGUAAAUGGAGUGU